Molecule: ribosomal RNA, 253 nt
Filed under: uncultured bacterium
Lineage: Bacteria
Description: partial 16S ribosomal RNA
Rfam family: Bacterial small subunit ribosomal RNA
Source: RNAcentral
UACGUAGGGUGCAAGCGUUGUCCGGAAUUAUUGGGCGUAAAGAGCUCGUAGGCGGUUUGUCGCGUCUGCUGUGAAAACCCGAGGCUCAACCUCGGGCCUGCAGUGGGUACGGGCAGACUAGAGUGCGGUAGGGGAGACUGGAAUUCCUGGUGUAGCGGUGAAAUGCGCAGAUAUCAGGAGGAACACCGGUGGCGAAAGCACUCUGCUGGGCCGACACUGACACUGAGAGACGAAAGCUAGGGGAGCGAAUGGG